CCUCUUCCGCCUAAAAAUCUCCAUCUCUCCUGCCAGAAAGAAGCAUCUGUACAAAUCCCCUGGCUCCUGACGGCGACAAUGACUUCUUUGAUAAACUACCCAUGUGUGUGAGGAGGGACAGAAGGAUGGAGACAGCAAAUGGGAAAAUGAGUUUUCCCCGUUCAGAUUAAUGUAUAUGAGGAUUUGGCCUGUUCUAUGGGUUUUUCGAGCUAACCACCAGGCUACUUGGGUAAGAUACACAAUGGCAAGAUACACGCUGAACAACAGAACUGGAGCGGUUUCAGAGCACACUGUCACAUGGCUACUUCACCUGGAGCUGCCUGGAAGCCAGACUUCUCUUAGCGGCCUUCAGAUGAAGAUGUAGAACUCUCAGCUCCUCCUGCACCCUGCCUGCCUGGACGCUGCCAUGUUCCUGUCUUGAUGAUAAUGAACUGAACCUCUGAACCUGUAAGCCAGCCCCAAUUAAAUGUUGUCCUCAUAAGA
Non-coding RNA from Rattus norvegicus (Norway rat), 483 nucleotides. NCBI's taxonomy places the organism in Eukaryota, Metazoa, Chordata, Mammalia, Rodentia, Muridae. The record is from RefSeq and is a predicted model, not a curated record.